Molecule: ribosomal RNA, 415 nt
Filed under: Actinomycetota bacterium
Lineage: Bacteria; Bacillati; Actinomycetota
Description: bacterial SSU rRNA
Rfam family: Bacterial small subunit ribosomal RNA
Source: RNAcentral
UUUACGGAGAGUUUGAUCCUGGCUCAGGACGAACGCUGGCGGCGUGCUUAACACAUGCAAGUGGAGCGACGAACCGGGCUUCGGCCCGGGGCAAAGCCGCGAACGGGUGAGUAACACGUGGGUAACCUGCCCCGAUGACCGGGACAACCCGAGGAAACUCGGGCUAAUACCGGAUGCGCUCGGUUCACACCAGUGGGCCGAGCAAAGGUAGCUUCGGCCUCCGCAUCGGGAUGGGCCCGCGGCGCAUUAGCUUGUUGGUGGGGUAACGGCCUACCAAGGCUACGAUGCGUAGCUGGUCUGAGAGGACGAUCAGCCACACUGGGACUGAGACACGGCCCAGACUCCUACGGGAGGCAGCAGUGGGGAAUCUUGCGCAAUGCGCGAAAGCGUGACGCAGCAACGCCGCGUGGGGGAA